RNAcentral lists this ribosomal RNA (486 nucleotides) under uncultured bacterium. Its description in RNAcentral is "partial 16S ribosomal RNA". It matches the Rfam family "Bacterial small subunit ribosomal RNA", at positions 30 to 507 of the family's 1533-position model. The record is from RNAcentral.
AUUGAACGCUGGCGGCAUGCCUUACACAUGCAAGUCGAACGGCAGCACGGGUGCUUGCCCCUGGUGGCGAGUGGCGAACGGGUGAGUAAUACAUCGGCACAUGUCCUGUAGUGGGGGGUAGCCCGGCGAAAGCCGGAUUAAUACCGCAUACGAUCUACGGCUGAAAGCGGGGGACCUUCGGGCCUCGCGCUAUAGGGUUGGCCGAUGGCUGAUUAGCUAGUUGGUGGGGUAAAGGCCUACCAAGGCGACGAUCAGUAGCUGGUCUGAGAGGACGACCAGCCACACUGGGACUGAGACACGGCCCAGACUCCUACGGGAGGCAGCAGUGGGGAAUUUUGGACAAAGGGCGAAAGCCUGAUCCAGCAAUGCCGCGUGUGUGAAGAAGGCCUUCGGGUUGUAAAGCACUUUUGUCCGGAAAGAAAUCCUUGGCCCUAAUACGGUCGGGGGAUGACGGUACCGGAAGAAUAAGCACCGGCUAACUACGUG